RNAcentral lists this ribosomal RNA (560 nucleotides) under Serratia sp. R8-2. RNAcentral's name for it is "bacterial SSU rRNA". It matches the Rfam family "Bacterial small subunit ribosomal RNA", at positions 137 to 692 of the family's 1533-position model. The record is from RNAcentral. Lineage: Bacteria; Pseudomonadati; Pseudomonadota; Gammaproteobacteria; Enterobacterales; Yersiniaceae.
AGGGGGAUAACUACUGGAAACGGUAGCUAAUACCGCAUGAUGUCGCAAGACCAAAGUGGGGGACCUUCGGGCCUCACGCCAUCGGAUGUGCCCAGAUGGGAUUAGCUAGUAGGUGGGGUAAUGGCUCACCUAGGCGACGAUCCCUAGCUGGUCUGAGAGGAUGACCAGCCACACUGGAACUGAGACACGGUCCANACUCCUACGGGAGGCAGCAGUGGGGAAUAUUGCACAAUGGGCGCAAGCCUGAUGCANCCAUGCCGCGUGUGUGAAGAAGGCCUUAGGGUUGUAAAGCACUUUCAGCGAGGAGGAAGGCGUUGCUGUUAAUAGCAGCAGCGAUUGACGUUACUCGCAGAAGAAGCACCGGCUAACUCCGUGCCAGCAGCCGCGGUAAUACGGAGGGUGCAAGCGUUAAUCGGAAUUACUGGGCGUAAAGCGCACGCAGGCGGUUUGUUAAGUCAGAUGUGAAAUCCCCGAGCUUAACUUGGGAACUGCAUUUGAAACUGGCAAGCUAGAGUCUUGUAGAGGGGGGUAGAAUUCCAGGUGUAGCGGUGAAAUGCGUA